GACGAACGCUGGCGGCGUGCCUAAUACAUGCAAGUAGAACGCUGAAGGAGGAGCUUGCUUCUCCGGAUGAGUUGCGAACGGGUGAGUAACGCGUAGGUAACCUGCCUGGUAGCGGGGGAUAACUAUUGGAAACGAUAGCUAAUACCGCAUAAGAGUAGAUGUCGCAUGACAUUUGCUUAAAAGGUGCAACUGCACCACUACCAGAUGGACCUGCGUUGUAUUAGCUAGUUGGUGAGGUAACGGCUCACCAAGGCAACGAUACAUAGCCGACCUGAGAGGGUGAUCGGCCAACCUGGGACUGAGACACGGCCCAGACUCCUACGGGAGGCAGCAGUAGGGAAUCUUCGGCAAUGGACGGAAGUCUGACCGAGCAACGCCGCGUGAGUGAAGAAGGUUUUCGGAUCGUAAAGCUCUGUUGUAAGAGAAGAACGAGUGUGAGAGUGGAAAGUUCACACUGUGACGGUAUCUUACCAGAAAGGGACGGCUAACUACGUG
Molecule: ribosomal RNA, 495 nt
Filed under: uncultured bacterium
Lineage: Bacteria
Description: partial 16S ribosomal RNA
Rfam family: Bacterial small subunit ribosomal RNA
Source: RNAcentral